This 510-nucleotide ribosomal RNA is filed under the name uncultured bacterium. RNAcentral's name for it is "partial 16S ribosomal RNA". It matches the Rfam family "Bacterial small subunit ribosomal RNA", at positions 28 to 507 of the family's 1533-position model. The record is from RNAcentral.
GACGAACGCUGGCGGCGUGCUUAACACAUGCAAGUCGAACGAAGAGCGAUGGAAGCUUGCUUCUAUCAAUCUUAGUGGCGAACGGGUGAGUAACGCGUAAUCAACCUGCCCUUCAGAGGGGGACAACAGUUGGAAACGACUGCUAAUACCGCAUACGAUCUAACCUCGGCAUCGAGGAUAGAUGAAAGGUGGCCUCUACAUGUAAGCUAUCACUGAAGGAGGGGAUUGCGUCUGAUUAGCUAGUUGGAGGGGUAACGGCCCACCAAGGCGAUGAUCAGUAGCCGGUCUGAGAGGAUGAACGGCCACAUUGGGACUGAGACACGGCCCAGACUCCUACGGGAGGCAGCAGUGGGGAAUCUUCUGCAAUGGACGAAAGUCUGACGGAGCAACGCCGCGUGAGUGAUGACGGCCUUCGGGUUGUAAAGCUCUGUUAAUCGGGACGAAAGGCCUUCUUGCGAAUAGUUAGAAGGAUUGACGGUACCGGAAUAGAAAGCCACGGCUAACUACGUG